RNAcentral lists this non-coding RNA (746 nucleotides) under Pongo abelii (Sumatran orangutan). The record is from RNAcentral. Lineage: Eukaryota; Metazoa; Chordata; Mammalia; Primates; Hominidae.
GGAUAAGAAUGUCCUGAGCUUCAAAUCUCUUCCCUGAUAAAAAGAGGGCUGCUGCUCUCAAGGAACUUCAGUCAAGGGGAGUGGGGGAAGACAGUCCCAUACCCAGACAAAAAACUAGCGGGUGAAAGGCCAAUGAGUGGUGGGAAGGAAAGGGAAUGAAGCUUCCAGAAGGCUAGGGGAUAAGAAUGCAGCAGUGAACAUGGUUCCUGCAGUCAUGAAGCAAAUGUAUCCACUGUGAUACAAAAGAGACUGUAAAAAACAAACCCAAAUGGACAACAGAGUUCUGAACCAUCCUGUGACAAGUCUAGCUACCCUAAAGCUGUCAUGCAGGAGAGAUCAUGUGGAGAGAAGGAGAGUUAGACAGAGGAGGAGCCCCUGCUGUUUGAGUAUUCUCAGCCUAGACACCAGACAUGAGUGAGGAAGCAUUCAGACCCCAACUCCAGUUUAAAAACACCACCACUCAACAGCCUGUUUUCUGAGCCUACGACCACAUAUAUGCUGCAGAACUCUUUCAGGGUGUAUCUGAAACUACUUCUCUUAAAGGCAAGCUGUAACUGGCGCCAGAAAAGACAGAAGCUGAUUGAGGUCCCAGCUUGGUAACAGUUUGAAGAGUUGCAGGACUGGCUGGAUGAGUACUGGCUGCAGCAAGUCAUGCUGCCAGGAUUCUUUAUGGCUGUUUCUGCUUCCACUACAGCUGAGUCAGAAAGGUCGCUGCCCAGUGGUGGCAGUAGAUGCAGUGGACCUGG